UAGGGAAUCUUCGGCAAUGGACGAAAGUCUGACCGAGCAACGCCGCGUGAGUGAAGAAGGUUUUCGGAUCGUAAAACUCUGUUGUUAGAGAAGAACAAGGACGUUAGUAACUGAACGUCCCCUGACGGUAUCUAACCAGAAAGCCACGGCUAACUACGUGCCAGCAGCCGCGGUAAUACGUAGGUGGCAAGCGUUGUCCGGAUUUAUUGGGCGUAAAGCGAGCGCAGGCGGUUGCUUAAGUCUGAUGUGAAAGCCCCCGGCUCAACCGGGGAGGGUCAUUGGAAGCUGGGAGACUUGAGUGCAGAAGAGGGGGGUGGAAUUCCAUGUGUAGCGGUGAAAUGCGUAGAUAUAUGGAGGAACACCAGUGGCGAAGGCGGCUCUCUGGUCUGUAACUGACGCUGAGGCUCGAAAGCGUGGGGAGGAAACAGG
RNAcentral lists this ribosomal RNA (429 nucleotides) under Chloroflexota bacterium. Its description in RNAcentral is "Chloroflexi bacterium partial 16S ribosomal RNA". It matches the Rfam family "Bacterial small subunit ribosomal RNA", at positions 355 to 776 of the family's 1533-position model. Lineage: Bacteria; Bacillati; Chloroflexota. The record is from RNAcentral.